AUAAAAUUUUUUAAAAAAGGAAACAAACACAGAAUCCAGGAAUAAAUCUUUAAUGUGUAAGACCGUUAUGGAGGAAAUUAUAAAAAUUUAUUGGAAGACAUUAAAGGAGAUCUAAGUAAAUGGUUGGAAGACUCUCUUUCAUAAAGAUGUAACUUCUCGCUAAAUUGAUCUAUAGGUUCAAUGCAACACCAGUAAAAAUCUUAAUUUUUUUGUGGGGCGGUGAAGCUUGGCAAGGUGAUUCUAAAAUUCAUAUAUAAAUGCAAAGGCCCAAUAAUAGCCAACAUACUCUUGAAGAAUAAGCCAAAAUGUAUUAUAAAGCUAAACAAGUACACACUGUGGAAUAGAAAAAUGGGUCAAUGGAAAGCCCAGAAACAGACCUGUGCAUAUAGGGACAUACGAUGUAUGAAAUAUUGCUGUCACAUGCCAGUGGGAAGGGGAUGGACUUUUCCUUAAACAGUGCUCAGAAAGUAAAUGAGUAGCCAUAGGGAAAGAGAGAUACUGGGCCCUGCUACACACCAUAUGUAAAAAUUAUUCUAGGUUAAGACCUAAAUGUGAAAGGCAAAGUAUAAAAUAUUUAGAAGACAUUAAAGAUAUCUUACGAUCUUGGGGUAGGGAUAGAUAUCCUCAAUAAGACACAAAAAGCACAAGCCAUAAAAAUGAUCAAUUUCACUAUAUUAAAACUAAGAACUUCCAUUCAUCAAAAGGCCAUAAAGAAAGUGGAAAGACAAGUCACAAACUGGGAGAAAUAUGAAGAGGGUCUUACACCGUAAUGAGAUUAUUCACCCUGGAAAUGGCCUCGCCUGACUGCAAACGAGGCAUGUCUCUUUUAGGGAGGAGGGAAGAAUGAGCACCAGAAGUUUCUACCACACCUAGUGAGGCUGAACUGGUCCUACCCGAAGACCCAACGAUUCUGCUGUCAUGUACAUAACGUGAUGAAUGUACAGUGGCUUGUGUAAAAUGAGCUGUGUGCCAGAAUGUUUACAGCAGAAUUGUUCAUAGCAGGGAAAAAAAGGACAUAAGUUCACAUUCCAUAGUAAGAAUGGAAUGUACAGAUCCGUUUCAGCAUAUUCAUAUAGCAGAAUAGUAUACAAUGAUGAAUAUGCAACAAUGUGGAUCCACUUCCAAAACAUAACGUUGAUGGAAGAAAGGCAACAGAAAAGCACAUGCAAUAUGAUUCUAAUUACUUGAAGUCCAAAAAGCAAAUCAGUGUAUUUGUUAAGGAUACAUACCAAGUUGUUACAAAAAAAAAAAAAAAAAAAAAAAAAGACAAUAGAGACAAACAAGUGAGUAACUGACACAAAAUUUAGCAUAGAUUCCCUCUGGAUUCCCUCAGAACUCUCAUGGGACCUGAGAGGGGAAACGGGGCUCUGGGAAUCAGGUAAUGUCUCAUUUAUUCACCUGGGCAGUGAAAACUUAGUUCUAUGCCUCUGUCCAAAAAUUGAGAUGUUCAGUUCAGGCCCAGGUGAUGAGAAUUGUCAAAGACAUGGCUUUCGGUAAAAAAAGAAAAAAAAAAGAAAAAGCUCCUUUGGCACAGGUUCAGCGAACCAAUAAAGAAAUUCUUUCCUUCCACCUUUAGUUGCCAUUUCAAACCCGCCGAUUAAUCACAGUGUGUUCCUGGCAGCCGCCCAGACCAGCUCCUCUGAAAAUAGGUGAAGAGGGAGCCCUCGGACAAGAGCACCUUCAGCACCACGGACAGCAACCCACGGCUGGCCCUUCUGAGACCAGCUAUGUAGGGAUUCAGAAUGUUGCAGAAGGGCAGAGGCCUUCAAAGUCAUGGCCCAGGAGGCAGAGGAUGAAACAGAACCCAGGUCUCCUGAUACCUAAUCUAGUCUUCAUUCCAUUGCUCCUGGCUUUGGCUAAAUGGACUGAAACUCCUCCCUGAACCAAGAAGUCGCCAGGGGCCUUCCACAUGUGGCUUUCACACAUGCCAUUGAAGGCUUGGGCUUCGCAGUCAGUCUCAGCAGGGUUGAGAUCUGACUCUGCCUGCAUCAUCUGAGUGCCCUCGGAAGUCUCUUCACCUCUCCAAGCCUCAGUGUCAGUCAUAUCAACUCCCCACAGAGUUGCUGCGAGAAUUCAGUAAUAUUAGAUCUUGUGCUCUGGUGUGCAUUUAAAACCUAGAAAAUUCCCUCUCCCUCAGUGGAUUUCAUAUAGAAAAAAAAAAAAAAAUUGGUCCUUUGGAACAUUUCAAAGAUGCUGAAACAACUAGAGGCUGUUCUGGAAAUAAACCCCACAAAAUUUCCGUAUAAAAUCUUGGCAUUGCUAACAGACAUUAAGGCUCCCUUAGAUGUCGAUGUCUUAGCUUUGUCCAGUCUGGUUCAUUAGAGGCCCCUGAUCGUUGCCUAAUAUGUCCUUACUUUUUGUCAUGCCAAGAGACGCUCAGAGAAGAGGGGUGAAAAUAUGCCUACAAAAUGUCUCCAAGGCUAAGGGGUCUUCAACCACACACUGCUUUCCCACAUUGAACCUGAAGGGUAAUAUGUUGUUCUCUUGAUUAGUCGCUAGAUUCUAUUUAUUAGUAUUUUAUUUAGAAAUUUUCACCUAUACGUGUGCCAUCAGUCUAUAGUUCCCCUUAUUUUGUAUUAAAGAUAUUCUAGAUGCAUAGAAUGAAUAAGGGCAUUUCUCUCCUAUCCUUUUCUAUGGCCUCAAAUAGUUUAAACAGCAUUAAAAUGAUUCAUUCUUUAGAAAUUAGAUAAAACUCAGCUGUGAACCUGUCUGAUUCUGCUGUCUUUUCACUGAUAGAUCUCCAGUCACCUUCUAGUCUCUUCUAUGGUAAUUGGUCUAUUAAAAUUUUCCAUUUUUUCUUGGGCUGAUUUUGGUAAUUUACUAGGAAAUCAUCCAUUUCCCUGAGGUUUUCAAUUUGUUAUCACAGAGUUGCGUGUAAUAUUCUCUCAUAAUUAGUUUUAUCUCUCCUGUAUCUCUAGUUAUAUUGGUAUGUCUGCCUUCUUACUGCUAAUCUUGUCUAAUUUUACUCUCUCUCUUCAUUCUCCAUAAUUGGACUCACGAGGGUUUUUUCUAUUUUAUUAGCCAUUUCAAAGAAUAAGCUUUUGCAUUUACAUAUUCUUCCCACUAUUUAAAUGUUUUUUUCUAUUUCAUCAGUUUCAGUUCUUUAUGAAUUCCCCAUUUCUUGUUUCUUUUGUUGUUUCUUUUCCUAAUUGCUUGAGACAAGUACUAAAAAUGAUGUUAUGUUUAGCCUUUGCCCCUUCGAAUGAAGGCAUUUAGGCGGUGUGUUUCUAAGCUGUUAUCUUUACUCCAUAUGUUUUAACAUGAAGCAUUUUCUUUUUCUUUGUUUUCCAGAUGAUAUAUAACUUCUCCCUUGAUUUUUCUCUUUGAUCCAAGAGUUAUGCAUGAAUGUUUUAAACUUGCAAGUCAAGUGUUUGGCUCCCAUUUUAUUAUUAAUUACUACUUGUGUUGAAUAUGGCUGGAGCAUGAGGCCUGUGAAAACUUCAUUCUUGGGUUCUUGAAUUUGGUUUGGGUCUUCUCUUGAGUUUUUUCUUCAAAUGAAGGAUGCAGGGGAUAGAAGAGAAUUUGGGAAGCGUACUCUCAGAAUCUUCCUUUUGCCUUGACGGCAGGACGAUUGCUCCGUGACAGCAGAGACCUUGCUGCUGGCUCCCCAAUACUCCUCGAGGCAAGGGCUGGAUUGCCAAGCUAUGUGGACUCCCUGGAGACCCUCUGGGGGGCCCUGGACCUGGGCUCGGGGGCCUGGGAGGUGGAUGGUGUCCCAGCUCUGCAGACGAUGAUGACUCUGUGACCUCCCAUAAGUCCCUGGACUUCUCCGGGCCGCCGUCUCCUUAUUCAUCGAACGAGGAAGGAGACCUAAUUGCCAGUGUACCUUCCGGCCCUGCGGGAAGAGACUUAAACCCUGGAUGGGGCCCUACAAUGCGUGCAUCCUCAGAGUGUAGCUGUGCCUUCUCCACGCCCAUAGCAACCAGAGAGCUGGGAUCAGCCCAUCCCACGGCCUGGGGACUGGCCAGGAAGCCCUUUGGGGUCCCACAGUCUACGCUGGUCUGGGCUCCCGCAGCCCCCGUGACCCACGGGUCUCCAGCUCCAGACCUGCCAUGGCCAUCUCCCAUCUAUCUUGUGUCACAAACUCCCAGCCCCCGCCUGGCACGGCGGCCCCGAGCCUGGCAGGUGAUGUUUCAGGGGCAGGGAAAGCCUCUCUGAAGCCCCAGGCCCUUGCAGAGCUCCCAUCAGCUCAGUGGAUGUUUCCUGAUCCCUACUCUGUGCUGGGGACACAGACAGGUCGGACAGGCCCUGUCCUAGGAAUCUCGAGGCCUGGACCGGAGCAGGGGCUGUUCGCACCGGGGCACGUGGGCCAGGCCCAGACCCCACCUGGGCCAGGAGGGUUUCCAGGGGAAGGCUCCCAUGGAACAGGAGCCUCUGGAAGCACCCCACCCUCUCUUCCCUCCCCCGGGAGGUGACAGGCCCGUGAUUAUACAAACGAUACACCUGCGAGUCCCCAGAAUAGCAGCAGUGUGUACAGGGAUGCCUGUCUCGCUGCGGAAUCGCUGCCGCCGCGGCUGCGUUUGCAGAAAUACCUUCUGCCACACAAAGGUGAACGUGGCAGAGGCGAGAACCAGGCUUCUGAAAAGGGAAAAUAUUUAAACACCUUCCGCGGGGAUCUGUAAACUCUCGGCACGGGGACAACGAUGGCGCCAUGUGACUGGACUGAAGUUAGCUUCCACCGGAGGAAGCUGGCUCCCCGGCCAGGGAGGUGGAGGGAGGAGGGCAGCGUGUCCUCCGCGGGGCGGGCGGGAUGAGCUCCCGCACCGCGGGGCCCCGCCUGCGGGCCAGGCCUCCGCCGGCGAGCCGCACACGCCUCCCCGCGCUUCAUCCAGAUGGAUGGAGAGCCCUCUUCUGCCCUCGCCAACCAACCGGUGGGGUGGGGGGCAGAGGCACGGAGAGGGUCGCCCACUCGCCCACGGUCACGCCGGGUGGAAACGACAAGCUUGGGAUUUGGAUCCCGGCCGCCUGACUCAGAAGCCGGUACUUAUCCCACAGCCCGAGUGCCAGUCGGGGUCCGUCUGGGAGAACUGAUCUGAUGGUGAUGGAGAGCCUGUUCACACCCCGUGUGCGCUUUAGGGACACGCUGCUUCGGACGGGGGGGUGGGGUCCGCAGAGCAGCCUCCACGCCCCGGCUCUGCCCCGUGCCCGUGCUGGACAACUUCCAGGUGUUCCUGUCCACAGCCACAUCAACAACCGCGGGGCAUCCCGUCUCACACCCGAGCGCAAGCUUCCCCACGUCCCACAUUUAGAGCGUUCUCCGUAAGCUAUUGUUUGUUUUUAAGAGCGGAAGAUUUUUUAUUUUUAAUUAUUCUUAUUUACGUCAGCAUUAGUAUUACGAAGGAGAAGAGCUGGGUUCAACAAAUGUCCCCUCUCUAUGGGUGUCUAAUUAUUUUACGCACUGGGUGGUGAGGAGGUGACUGAGAGAAAGGUCACCAGUGCCAUUUCCUGGCCACCGGUACGUCGUUCUUGAAUCCAUUUCAUUAAUCUAGUCAGCAAACGCCCAGGAGCCUCUGCUCUGCCAAGCCCCGCGUACCCAGAAGCGGAGGCUGGGGGCAGGAUGCCCUCCCCACUGCCCAGGAGUCCCGCUGUGGGCGUGGACAUGCUGCCCUCCCAUCUCCUGGGCCUGGUUUUCGAACAGCCUCCCUCAGGGGUUGGCCCUGACGCUCCGGCCUCGGUUAAUGAGACCCUCCUGCUGGGCACAGGGUUCGUGCCCCUCCAGCAACCCCCCUCAGGAGCUGUCAGCUGGUGAAGCCUCUGCCGAUGGCCUGAUUGAUCCUGGCAGCACUGGGGCUCCGUGGGGAACACGAUGGAGCUAUUUAUGGAGCAGGUGUGGAGCUGGGCAGUGGUUCAGGCUGCGCCUUAAGAAGCCUGAAAUCCACUGAUCAUAUUUCCUGCAGUAAAGCAAGGGCUUGUGUGUGUGUUGGGGGUGGGGUGCGGUUAGGGGCCGCCCUUGGCUCGAAGGAGGGGCCCCUGGCCUUGCCUCUGCCCUCAUUCGCAUGUCACCCUGAGUCCCAGAGGGGGCUGGCUGGCUCCUCACCUGCUAGAUGAACUUCCUACUCUUAAGAGUCCUCUAACUCCGGGGGCAGAUCAGAUCCUCCCUGAGCCUCGAACCUGCGCACCGAUCGUUCCUGAAACAGUUUAGAGUGUGAAUCUCCCAGGCGUCUUUGCCCACGUGGUCACAAUUGGAGACAUCACCGCACAAGGAGAACUCUGGGGCUCAGAAAUUCCAAGUAAGACCCCCCUUGGGCUUCACAUCUCAGGGAGGAGCCCACCCAUCUGGGGCUCUGUGUCCUCACAUCACCUGUUGAUGGACUUUUGGGGCAGGUGCAGGUCCAGCAGCCCCAGGUCACAGGCUCUGACUGUCCACCCUAUGAACUACUUCCCCUGCCCCUGACAUGACAUCCUGGAAUCCUCUGGGCAGACUGAGCCUGGCCGGCCUCAGUUUCCCUUUUCUGGCGUUGGCUCUGCCUCUCGUGUCUUGGGAGCCCUGGGCCAUUUUCCUGCUCCCCUCCCCCGACUCUCACCACAUCAGCCCUGGGACCAGCCUUAGCAUAUUUGGGAUUUAAUCAUGGAGCCAAUGAAACAACUUUUAGCACCUCCUGUGUACCAGGGACUGGGCUGACUCUCCCUCUUCCUUCGCAGCCUUUUCGCCAUCACACUGGUCCAGCCUGGUAGCCUGUGCCUGGAGAGAAGGACGCAGCCCCCCAGCUCCCACCCCACCCCACAAAGGAUCUGCAGUCACGGUCACUGUCCUAAGCUUAGAGCCUUGGCUUCGUCACCGGCCAAGGGGAUGAUGAUGGCCUCACAGAGUCAUCAUGAAUGCUCAGUUCCCAGCUCAGGCUGAACACCCAGCAGGUGCUCAAGAAAGGCUCACUCAGGACCAGCCCACCAGGGCGCCAUACACCAUCACGGUGCCACUUGCUCCCGGCUCCCUACAUCCUCUCACAAUGCCAUCUCAGCUGGGGCCAGGUUGGUGAUGGCCUUGAAAGGAAACAGGUGAGCACCGAGCCCAGGAUGAGCCCUGUGUGGACCCCUGUGUUCAAGAUCCUCAGGCUGUAACAGAUCUCGACCAAAGACAGGGCUGGGAUUGAUUAGCAAUGUCUGCUGUGGGCCCAGGCCAAGGGAAGGCAGCCUGUGUGCCAAUAUUGGUGAGCUCACCCUUGGACCCACUCCCCUCUCCGGGCUCACUCCUCACUCCUUCCACUGUCUGAGCUCUUGUUGCUUUCUGCCCUCUCUUCCACCUCUGCGUUUCGUGUUCUUUCUCCUCCUUCAUUGCACUCGACCCCCAGGGACAUCAGAGUCAAGGCCUAAACCUCAGAGACUCUCGGGGUCCUGGCAGGCAACCACCUUUGCCAUCUGCACAGCUAUUUUUUUUUUCUUUCACUCUUCUACAUCUACCUCUUCCUGCCUUCCUUUGAGAGAUCUCACUUGGGGUGAUGACUUCAGAUGCACUGGCACGUGAGCUCAACUCUGCUCUUUGGUUUUUAACAAACAUUUAUUGUGCACCUACUGUGUGGAAGGCCUGCAUGACAAGUUGAGGCCGGCAUGGCCCCUGCCCUCAAGGAGCUCACAGUCUGGCAGGGGAGGUGUGACUGGCACCAAAGGGGUCACAGGAUAGAAGUAUGUGCAGAGACACAGGCACCUCAUCCAGGCUGGGCACAGGGGAAGCUUCUGGAGGAGAUGCUGCCAGAGCUGAAUCUUGAAAGAUGAGGAGACGGGAGCCUGAAGAGGACAGGGAAAGGUAUACAGGCGGAGGGAAUGGCGUGAGCAAAGGCACGGAGGUGUGACGUGCUGCACUGGGUGGCUGGCCUAGAGCACGGUACCUCCCUGCUUCCCGCCCGCAGCUGAGUCUUUCACAGACACAUAGCGCUGAUGUAGAAGCAGCACUAGACUGGGAGUGAGAUCCACUGACUCACUGAGGGGCCCGAAUAAGCUGGUCGGCCUCUCUGGGUAACACAGGGUAGUGAUUCUUAGCCCCAGGGGCUACGGACACGCCCACUGUGUGUAAAGAACCUGCAGUCUCAGUACCUGCCUCCCUCCCACGCCUCCUCAAAGAAAUUCUUUCCCAGGGUUCUCAUUGGUUGAGAGGUGAGCCACGCCCAGCCAAUCACCGUGGCUGGGGGAAACCUGGCUCUGAUUGGCCACACCUGAGCUCUGAAUCCACCUCUAGGCUGAGCUGGAGUUGGUGCUCCCAGACCACAGGGGCAGAGAGGGAAGGUGGUCUCCCCAGACGCACUGCCACCAGCCUAACCGCUUUCUGGACUGUCAUGCGGCAGCAACCCACAGUGCUAGCUGAGCACCUGCCUUGGGGAUGAGUGCUGGGGACACAGGGAAGAUGUCAAGACCCAGGCUCUGCUUCAAGGAGUUCACUUCCACCUGCAGGUCAAGACCAUGGAAGGAGAGUGUAGGGUGAGGAGAGGAGUGUGGGUGCUGGAUGGACAGACCAGGAAACCCUCCUUUUACCCCCCCUCCCCGACCAAGAACCCUCCAGAGGCCCGGCUCCCAGGCUUGUUUCUCUUGAGUCCAA
This is a non-coding RNA of Delphinapterus leucas (beluga whale), 8527 nucleotides long. The record is from RefSeq and is a predicted model, not a curated record. Lineage: Eukaryota; Metazoa; Chordata; Mammalia; Artiodactyla; Monodontidae.